RNAcentral lists this ribosomal RNA (492 nucleotides) under uncultured bacterium. RNAcentral describes it as "partial 16S ribosomal RNA". It matches the Rfam family "Bacterial small subunit ribosomal RNA", at positions 29 to 507 of the family's 1533-position model. The record is from RNAcentral.
AUUGAACGCUGGCGGCAUGCUUUACACAUGCAAGUCGAACGGUAACAGGCCUUCGGGUGCUGACGAGUGGCGAACGGGUGAGUAAUGCAUCGGAACGUACCCAGAGGUGGGGGAUAACGCAGCGAAAGCUGUGCUAAUACCGCAUGUGAUCUGAGGAUGAAAGCGGGGGACCGAGCAGCAAUGUUUGGCCUCGCGCCUUUGGAGCGGCCGAUGUCGGAUUAGCUAGUUGGUGGGGUAAAGGCCUACCAAGGCGACGAUCCGUAGCUGGUCUGAGAGGACGACCGGCCACACUGGGACUGAGACACGGCCAAGACUCCUACGGGAGGCAGCAGUGGGGAAUUUUGGACAGUGGGCGCAAGCCUGAUCCAGCAAUGCCGCGUGCGGGAAGAAGGCCUUCGGGUUGUAAACAGCUUUUGGCAGGAACGAAACGGUGUCCGCUAAUACCGGGCGCUAAUGACGGUACCUGCAGAAUAAGCACCGGCUAACUACGUG